GACGAACGCUGGCGGCGCGCUUAACACAUGCAAGUCGAACGGAAAGGCCUGCUUUCCCUUGUGGAUUUCGGGUACUCGAGUGUCGAACGGGUGAGUAACACGUGAGUGAUCUGCCCCCAACUUGUGUAUAAGCCUGGGAAACUGGGUCUAAUUCCCGAUAGGACUGCAGGGUGGUGCCCGUUGUUGAAUACGAUUUUCUAGUUGUUGGGGAUGCGCUCGCGGCCUAUCAGCUUGUUGGUGGGGGAAUGGCCUACCAAGGCGGCGAGGGGUAGCCGGCCUGAGAGGGUAGACGGUGACAUUGUGACGGAGAAACGUCGCAGAGUCCUGCGGGAGGAAGGCAUUGGGAAGAAUGCACCAGGGGCGGACGCCUAUUGGAGCGACGCCGCGUGGGGGAUGACGGCGUUUGGGUUGUAACCUACUUUCGACGGCGAGGAAGCCACCUGGUUGGAAGGGUGGUGACGGUAGUGGUAGAAGAAGCACCGGCUAACUACGUG
This 494-nucleotide ribosomal RNA is filed under the name uncultured bacterium. RNAcentral's name for it is "partial 16S ribosomal RNA". It matches the Rfam family "Bacterial small subunit ribosomal RNA", at positions 28 to 507 of the family's 1533-position model. The record is from RNAcentral.